Long non-coding RNA from Pipistrellus kuhlii (Kuhl's pipistrelle), 535 nucleotides. RefSeq lists it as uncharacterized. The transcript is spliced from 3 exons. NCBI's taxonomy places the organism in Eukaryota, Metazoa, Chordata, Mammalia, Chiroptera, Vespertilionidae. The record is from RefSeq and is a predicted model, not a curated record.
UGGAGGGACUAAAAAUUAAGUAAUGGUAUAAAUGUAUACCAGCAGCCUGAUAGCAAGUUUUAUUAAUUGGAGUAAUACUUGGUUAUGGAAGUGACUGAUGCUAAAUAAAUUUCUGAUUAUUUUUUAUUAGAUAAUUUCUUAUCAACAAAUUUAAACUGUCAGCCUGCUUAGUGUCUAUUAGUUAAACUUUGUAAUAUAUAUAUAUAUAUAUAUAUAUAUAUAUAUAUAUAUAUUCUUGUUUUUCCAUUGUAUGCAAAGUGAAAGAAAAAGAUGUACCAUUUCUUUGUUGUAUGUUGGAUUAUGUAGGGAAUGUUUGUGAACAAUUCAAAAAAAAAAAAAAAAGGGAAAAAAGUUCCUGUGGAUGUUUUGUGUAGUGUCUUGAUGUUUGUAUUAAUAAUAGUUAAGUUCACUUCCGAAUAAAACUCCCAUAAUGCUAGAUUUGAUGUGUGCCCAAUUUGAGCAAGGGUUGAUUGACACCUGUAAAAUUUGUUAAACCGUUCCUCUUGUAAGGAAAUAUAGUAAUCUUAAAUUACAA